This 354-nucleotide ribosomal RNA is filed under the name uncultured eukaryote. Its description in RNAcentral is "SSU rRNA". It matches the Rfam family "Eukaryotic small subunit ribosomal RNA", at positions 594 to 945 of the family's 1831-position model. The record is from RNAcentral.
AUAGCGUAUAUUAAAGUUGUUGCAGUUAAAAAGCUCGUAGUUGAAUUUCGGGAUUGGCGCAUCGGUCGUGCCUCACGGGGUAUGAACUGGUGCAGUCAAUUUCUCACCUUCUGGAGAACCGCGAUGUCCUUAAUUGGAUGCCGUGGGGAACCAGGACCUUUACUUUGAAAAAAUUAGAGUGUUUAAAGCAGGCAUUUUUGCUUGAAUACAUUAGCAUGGAAUAAUAAAAUAGGACGGCAUGGUUCUAUUUUGUUGGUUUCUAGGACCACCGUAAUGAUUAAUAGGGAUAGUUGGGGGCAUUAGUAUUCAAUUGUCAGAGGUGAAAUUCUUGGAUUUAUUGAAGACUAACUACUG